CCAUGCAGUCGAACGGCAGCACAGCCCACAAGGGUGGGUGGCGAGUGGCGGACGGGUGAGGAAUACAUAGGAAUCUACCCUGUCGUGGGGGAUAACGUAGGGAAACUUACGCUAAUACCGCAUACGACCGAGAGGUGAAAGCGGCGGACCGCAAGGCGUCGCGCGGCUGGAUGAGCCUAUGUCCGAUUAGCUAGUUGGCGGGGUAAGGGCCCACCAAGGCGACGAUCGGUAGCUGGUCUGAGAGGAUGAUCAGCCACACUGGAACUGAGACACGGUCCAGACUCCUACGGGAGGCAGCAGUGGGGAAUAUUGGACAAUGGGCGCAAGCCUGAUCCAGCAAUGCCGCGUGGGUGAAGAAGGCCUUCGGGUUGUAAAGCCCUUUUGUACGGGAAGAAAUCCUGUCGGUUAAUACCCGGCGGGGAUGACGGUACCGUAAGAAUAAGCACCGGCUAACUUCGUGCCAGCAGCCGCGGUAAUACGAAGGGUGCAAGCGUUAAUCGGAAUUACUGGGCGUAAAGCGUGCGUAGGCGGUUGGUUAAGUCUGUCGUGAAAGCCCUGGGCUCAACCUGGGAAUGGCGAUGGAUACUGGCCAGCUAGAGUGUGAUAGAGGAUGGCGGAAUUCCCGGUGUAGCGGUGAAAUGCGUAGAGAUCGGGAGGAACAUCCGUGGCGAAAGGCGGGCCAUCUGGAUCA
Molecule: ribosomal RNA, 691 nt
Filed under: uncultured bacterium
Lineage: Bacteria
Description: bacterial SSU rRNA
Rfam family: Bacterial small subunit ribosomal RNA
Source: RNAcentral